AUGUGUAUUCUCAAUUUAGAAUAUAUGAAUGUUUGUCUUCUUGGGAAGUGCCUGUACAAAUUUGGAUCUGAAGAUGCAACUCACGUACUGCAGAAAAUUCUCAGUAGUCAGACUUUGUCAAGAGCCGAAGAAGGACCUAGGCACUCACAAUUUUGGAACUCCCUCAUGGGAUUUAAAGACCUGUUAUUUUCUUUCUAUACAAGGAAAAUUGGCAUCCCACCAGAUUCUUGGAGGAUCUGUCGAUGGGAGUGGUUUUUCAGCUCUGGGUGCCCCUACACCCCCUAUGAGGCUAUGAACAGUAAAGUAAAAAAAAUCUGA
RNAcentral lists this ribosomal RNA (318 nucleotides) under Triticum aestivum (bread wheat). RNAcentral's name for it is "partial small subunit ribosomal RNA". Lineage: Eukaryota; Viridiplantae; Streptophyta; Magnoliopsida; Poales; Poaceae. The record is from RNAcentral.